Molecule: long non-coding RNA, 6349 nt
Filed under: Lupinus angustifolius (narrow-leaved blue lupine)
Lineage: Eukaryota; Viridiplantae; Streptophyta; Magnoliopsida; Fabales; Fabaceae
Description: long non-coding RNA (LANG_LNC001485)
Source: RNAcentral
UAAAUAACUUAUAUUUUAUUCGAAAGAGAACAAUAUAAGUUAUGAGUUUGAGCUUAUAUCAACGACGAGAUAAACAUAAUUGAGGAAAAGAUACAAGGUGUAAUGCAAGAGUAAGAAGAUCCUAACCUCCCUUCUAAAAUCAUGAUCAUAACACUAUGUAUGAUAAUGAUACUUCCAUUACCAUGAAUAAUUUAUAAUAACUUAACCAUUAUUCCAAUUGACAUAUGAUAAUGAGUUUAACAUUAUCUCAAUUGACUUAUGAUGAUUUUAAAAUCAAGUUCUACCCCAAUAUUCUGAUCAAAAUCAAGUUCUAUCCCAUACUUUAAUUGCCUGAAACACCCACCUCAAAGAAGUUCUCUGAACAAUGUUCUCUCUUUCAGAACAUUUUUGUAACAAAAAAAAUGUUACCUCUUAGGGAUGUUGUGUGGAUAUGUAACUUGAUCUCUGAUGGCCUAACCCUAUGCUUCGGCUAUGCUUGCAUAACUUUACCGUUAAGAGUCUGUUUGCGAGUUGGUUUUUGAAGGGUAAUAAGGAAAAUAGAAAGGUUUGGGAGAAAUGAAAUACACUUGUGAGAUAGUUCCGAAGCCUUUCAUUUCUCUUCUUUCCCUUUCAAAACAUAACUAACAAAUAGACCCGAAGUCUUAUUCCAACCUCCGGCUAAGGGCAAGGUGUGUGGAAUAAGGCAGAUUCAAAGGAGGCACAUCUAGACACAGUAGAAACUUUACAACAAAUAGCCAAUUUUAAGACACAAAAUGGCAACUUAAUGAUAGAGGCUAAACAACAAGAAUUACUAAAUCUUAUAAACCAGUUGAAAAAUUACCAAGUAAUAACCUAAUAACCAAUGCUCAAAAUUUUUAUACAACAUCAACGGCUUCCGGUGUCGGCACCAUUGGUGCUGUCGUGUUUUUUUGGUGCACCCUAAAUGCUAGCAAUGAAAGGUAAUAUUCUGAUGGCUUAAAAAAGAUAGUGAUCUUGGCGAUCUGUCUAUUAUCGAUGAGGCUCUUUGACACACGCCAUCGGAUUUGGCAAUAACUUUUGAUCAAGUGGCUUCAACCCUUUUCCAGACCAAUAAGUUACAAAUGAAGUCUCUAGCUUCCUCACCUAUCAUAACAAUUAUUAAAAUACAGGUAAGAAGAAAAGAAACAUGUAACUUGCUGAGGGAUAGAACAAAUAUUUCGGGUAAAUGAUUGAUCGUCUUAGAAGUACUAACUACCAAAUCCAAAAAUUCUUAGUUAAAUUUUGAAGUGUCAGCAAUGUAAAUCAAUUAAACAAGCUAUCUACUGGAAUUUUGCAGUAAGCAUUAAUCAGAAGCACAUGUUAUUCCAUUUCUCUUUAUAUUUAUGAAACAUAAAACAUUCAUCAAUCUUCAUAAAUCACGAGGCAUUGUAACUCGAAUUUCAAACACCAAGCUAGUCCAAAAGCACAGUCAAUGAGGGAUACAAAUACAACUUAAAUUGAGACUUUCCUCAAAUUUCAUUUGGCCCCUCCAUGUAUCAUUCCAUCAAAAGAAAAUAAAUAUACCUUUGAGACUUAAUUGAUAUAAAUGACCAUAAAUGCCACCGAAAUCGAGAAAUCAUUUAGAAUGGACACAAGCCCUCAAGCAGGGCUAUAUUGGAAGAAUGUAGAUAAUGACAAAGUUAAGGUGUGGUAGGAAUGAGAUCUUAGGAGCAAGGAGAUGAAAUAAAUUUCUUCUAAUCCUUUUAGUAGAAUUUCCUGCUUAAAUUCUGUGAAACAAUUUAAUCUUUGUGUAUGCUCUGUGGAAUACACUUUUCACAUUUUUACAGAAGUUUCACUACUUGUUUCAAAAAGAGUAAAAUGGAAGCUUUUCUGCCUGAUGAUUUUCUCUGCUAAAUUAUGUUUUCUCUUUUUUAAAGGGUCAGUCAAAUUUACUAAUAAAUUUGUUCUAUUAUUGGAAGUAAGAAAUCACAUCAAACACUUCUCCAAUCCAAAACAGAAAAUGAAUAUGAAGAACAUACCUGCUUAACAAUAAAUGGUUCCUCAGCGGGACUAAAGGGCUCUGUCAAGAUAGUUAAAAACCCAUUUCGAUUACCGUAAACAAUGUCAGUGAAGGGCCGAUCACCCACCUGCCACAGAAUAUUUAUCGUAUAAUUUAACUGCAAAUCAUACUACAAGACAAAUAUCUAAUAGAAAAUGAACACUACAAUAUUCUUAUCUACCAUGAUUAAUUGAGAAGAUUUACAACCAAAAUGCUUUUCAAUUUCUUCAGCUGUACCAGCUGGCUUCUUUACCCCUGCAACAUACAAACAAAUAUGAACAUCAAUGCUAGUAUCUUUCUACCGAUGGAACAUUUCAUAGCCCUGGAAUUUUACCACGGCAGAAGAUAACAUGUGUUUUCGAGACCAACGAAAUAUUUAAGAGUCAAAGCUCAGAAAGAAAAGGCAAGGCUCACUAUGUCUGAUAACUUUAAUUCCAAUCGCAUUCUCAAGCAUCCGAGCUUUUGAAUCAUCAUGGUCGUACUCACGAAGUCCUGAUUCACAACACCAACAAUAAAACAACACAAAACCAUAGUGUGACUGUGUGAGCAACAACUACAACCAUAAAAUUCAAAUCAAUUUUGAAAUGCUUUCAUACUACAAUUACCAGCAGAGUUACUAAACACAGCAACACGAGGACCGAACUCCAAUUUACAACGAUCCAAUGAAGACUCGAGAGGAGGCCAUGGCGUCAACGAGUAAGGCACCGUAAUAGUAUUAUCCUUGUCAAAUACAACACCCUUAAACCCCCUUCUAUGCAACUCAGCCCAAUCAAUAUACCUAAUAUCCGGGACCGAAAUAUGAGGCAGUGCCAAUUUCGGGUCACUAAAUAUCUCCAAGGUUGAAAAUAAAAUACCCUCCAAGUUAAUUCUUUGGCCAAAUGCUGCUUUCAUAUCAACCCACCACAUGUUUGUGAAAAGUACCCUAACCUCCUUAACCUCCUUAUCCCCCUUCAAUUCUCUUUCUUCAUCCUCUACUCGACGUUGAUCGUUAUUUCCAUUAUCUGGAUUAUGAUUAACCAUAUCUUUUGUGUCAAUGCCACGAAAACGCUGUCGAAAAAUCGAGUAUUUACGGCUUUGAUUUGAAGUGGAAUUGUAACCAUCCCUCCCAAUAUCCCUUUCCUUCCCUUUGCAGCAACAAUUGUGGGUCUGUGGAAGCCUCGAACCGCGAUAUAUGUUUACGAUACGAAUUCGGCUAUCAGCAUUGGCAAUCAUAAGUUUUCUCUUAUGUUUGCCAUUGUCAUGAUUAUGGCUUUGAAUGAACCAACCACCGGGAAGGUGAACAGCAGGAGCAAUAGUUGGCAUCAUCACUAUACAGUUUUUUCUUUCUUUCUAACUAAUUAUCGGAAACAGCCUCUUUGCCUGCGAGAAUAAGACUGCAUACAUCUAUCUUCCUCCAACUCUGAUGGAAAGAGUUUCGUGCAUUGGACUGCCUUAACUAAUUAAUAUAUUGUUGGUACGAGUGUUUGCUUUGAUCAUCGCUAUGUAUAUAACAAAGAGUAGCGUAAUUAGAACUAUGAAGAUUUUAAGGAGAAAGAAAACACGUGGAAAUUAUUUAGAUUAGAAACAAAAGUAUAAUUAAAAAAAAAAGGAGAUAGGAAGAAAGAGAAUGAAGAAGAGAAUUGGGGAAUGAAGAAGGUUUUGUGUGUGUGGAGGAGAGUGAUUUGGGUGGAUUUUAUGUGUUUGUUGGUGAAGGGUUUUAAGCUAUGGUGGGUCCACUUUAAUACUUAACAUUUUUACUUCAAUUUAUUCACUAGAAUUUUUAUUCAAUUAUCUAUAAUUGAUUUUCAAUUAUUAUUGACUCUUAAAUUAUUAUACAAUGAUUUAUGCAUUGUCUGUAUAUAAAUAUUUAUAUUGUCUGUAUAUAGAUAUUUAUAUUCGUUCAUUUCAAAAUGUGAGAAAAUUGUUGGGUGUUUGCCUUAUGAACAAGUUGUAACAAAAAGUGAAAAUUUGAGUUUUCAAUGUUAAAUAUAUAUUUAUCUAUUUUAUUUAGUCUAUAAGAUAAGGAAGUUAAUAUGUUAAUUUUGAAACUAGUUGUAACCAUUUUUUUGUUGUCUAGUUAAAGGUGGUAAUUUAGUGAAUAACAUACACAUCAGUUCACAGUUUCUCCUAUUGACAAGUUUUAUGCAACAAGUGUUUGUUACCAAUGUUUGAGCCAACCCUUUUAUCACUAGAUACUACAAAUCUAAAAGUGGUGUAAUUUCACAUAUACCACUAAAAAAGACAGUUCAUUGCACGAGAUUACUAUUUAUUAAGUUAUGAGAUUAGUAGAUAUAUACAACUUGACCUUAACAAGUGAAGUAACUUUAAGGAUAGUGCUCUUAUGCCUUUUGUAUUCUUUCUACAUAAGCAUAAGCAGGAAGUGGUAAUCUUUUUUUAUUUUCCACAGGUAUUUUUGUAUUGGAGACAAUUAUGUCCGAGUCGGGAACAUUCAUAUGUAUGUGGAGUUAACUCUCACCGCGGACAUUUUUUCAUCUACAAGACUUAAACCCGAAACUUUGCUUAAGGAGAAUCAAACAUAUACCACUUGAACCAGCAUCCAUUGAUAAGAAGUGGUAAUCUGUUAUAGCUUAUUGAUUGACCUAAAUUUGAUAAUUUGUUUGUCUUUGUUAUGUGGUGGCUUUUAUGAUAUGGACUGAGUGUGUUUACUGUUUGUGAUGGGCACAUGCUCUUGUAUUUGUAGCACAUUGAUAAAAAUGAGUGUUCCAAUUUGCAUCGUUAUAUUCUUCAACUCAAAGUUUACUUCAAGUAUUAGAUGACUCUUUCGGUAUGUUAAUGAUCUAUACUAGUCACCCGAUAAACCCAUUUUGUAUGCAAUAUCGAGUCUAGUACAAUCUAGAUUUAAGAAGGCUACUAACAAUGCUUGCAUAUUCAAGUUUCUUACAUUUUGUCACCAGUUUUCAUUCACUCUAAAAGCACGAGAGAUGACUAAACUGUUGAAAUUUCUCAUGUUGCCUAUGAAUUUGUUCAAAACCAUAGAGAAACUUACAAACCAAUAAAUCAUAUGCUCUUGAUUGAGAAGAAAACAGAAUUCAACAUUUAAAAAAAGCAUGAGAGAUGCCUCCAGUGUUUCAAAUUUUGGACCGCAUCACGUGAUGCGGCCGCAAUACUGUGAUUGUGGUGAUCGCUGCAACCAUAUCAUACGUAAUUGUAGUGUGAUACCGAAUCAUAAUGAUGUCACCACAACAAGCCAUAAAACAACCGCAUUGGGCUGCUACGCAACCACAUCGAUGUCAAAAAUAUGUUUUUACUCACAAAAUAAUUCACACCGCAACGGCUGCAAUCCGUAUUGCAAAGGCCACAAUAACCAUAAUCGCAUUAACCACAACCACGACAGCAACCUCACUUUAAAACAUUGUGCUCCAUAUAGAUCUUUUCUUCUAAUUCACCAUUAAAAAAAGUUUGAACAUUUCUACCUACACAAUCAAAUUAUGAAUGACACUAGAAGAAAACAGAAUUCUAAAGAAUAUUAUUCUAGAUGCAGAUGAAAAGUUAUUAAAGAAAUUUCAAUAGUGCCAUUGAGUCUCAAUCUCUUUCUCUUCUUCAAAAUUCACUUCGAGUUGAAAUGUUCACUUCGAGUUGAAAUUCACUUCGAGUAAAAUAAUGGAAACGGAAGCAUUCAGAGCCAUUUCUCCUUCAUCCGGUACAAAACUCAAAUUGUAAACAGAUCCUAAGUCGCAUUAUUUUGCAACACUACACCAUUUGCCAUCCUAAUAAACAGUCCCACACAAACAAAACAUAAACCACAACAACAACAACAAAAUAAGAUUAGAAACAAACCCAAAAUAAAUUCCUCAACAACAUAAAGUCAUGAACAUUCUCCAAAAAACAACAAAUGAUCAUAGCUGAAACACAAUAGUUUUGUUAGAAUCAGAAAAACUCUUGUUCUUCUUCUUGUUUUUUCUAGACUUACGAGUCUGAAACCCAAAAUCAUACCCAAUACCUUGUCCAAACCCAAAACCAAAACCAAGACCACAACCCAUUCCAAAUCCAAAAACAAGGUUCAAAUUGUUAAAUGGUGACAACCCAUUUCCAAUUCCAAAGGCACCAACCAAACCCAAUCCUAAUCCAGCACCACAUCCAAUUCCAGCACCAAAUCCAGGACCCAACACUAUAGAUGUUGUUUCAUCUUUGUUUGGUUUGUUUCCAAGCAACUUUGUUAUUGUGAAUUGUUCUUCUUCUUCUUCCUUCUUGUUCUUGUUGUUGUUGUUCCAUGUCCAGAAUGAGUUUUCAUCAGCUAUGGUUUUCAUUAGAAGAAAAUGAAGAUGUGGUUAUGGUGAAAAAAUGGAUAGGAUUUUAAUGGGUAUAGAGGUUUAUUCACUUCAUCAUGUUUCAGCCCAAUAUAACAUAUUUACU